This 440-nucleotide ribosomal RNA is filed under the name uncultured bacterium. RNAcentral's name for it is "partial 16S ribosomal RNA". It matches the Rfam family "Bacterial small subunit ribosomal RNA", at positions 338 to 795 of the family's 1533-position model. The record is from RNAcentral.
CCUACGGGAGGCAGCAGUGGGGGAUAUUGCACAAUGGGGGAAACCCUGAUGCAGCGACGCCGCGUGUGGGAAGACGGUCCUCUGGAUUGUAAACCACUGUCCCCAGGGACUAAGAUGACGGUACCUGGGGUGUUAGCUCCGGCAAACUACGUACCAGCAGCCUCGGUACUACGUAGGGGCCGCGCGUUGUCCGGAAGUACGGGGUGAAACGGGAGCGUAGGCGGGGAUGAAGGUAGAGUGUAAAGACUACCGUCUAAACUGGUAGUCGCACUCGAAACUGGAGGGCUUGAGUGAAGUUGAGGCAGGCGGAAUGCGUGGUGUAGCGGUGAAAUGCGUAGAUAUUAGGAGGAACACCAGUGGCGAAGGCGGCCUGCUGGGCUUUUACUGACGCUGAGGCUCGAAAGUGUGGGGAGCAAACAGGAUUAGAUACCCUUGUAGUC